This 485-nucleotide ribosomal RNA is filed under the name uncultured bacterium. RNAcentral's name for it is "bacterial SSU rRNA". It matches the Rfam family "Bacterial small subunit ribosomal RNA", at positions 23 to 507 of the family's 1533-position model. The record is from RNAcentral.
CUCAGGAUGAACGCUGGCGGCGUGCCUAACACAUGCAAGUCGAGCGGUAUAUACUGGAACGAAACUUCGGUCUAGAGAAGGUAUAGAGAGCGGCGGACGGGUGAGUAACGCGUAGGCAACCUGCCCCAUACAGAGGGAUAGCCUCGGGAAACCGGGAUUAAAACCUCAUAAUACGAAAGCUUCACAUGUUGCUUUCGUCAAAGAUUUAUCGGUAUGGGAUGGGCCUGCGUCUGAUUAGCUAGUUGGUGAGGUAACGGCUCACCAAGGCGACGAUCAGUAGCCGACCUGAGAGGGUAAUCGGCCACAUUGGAACUGAGACACGGUCCAAACUCCUACGGGAGGCAGCAGUGGGGAAUAUUGCACAAUGGGCGAAAGCCUGAUGCAGCAACGCCGCGUGAGCGAUGAAGGCCUUUGGGUCGUAAAGCUCUGUCCUUGGGGAAGAAAAAAUGACGGUACCCAUGGAGGAAGCCCCGGCUAACUACGUG